CCUACGGGAGGCAGCAGUGAGGAAUAUUGGUCAAUGGCCGGAACGCUGAACCAGCCAUGCCGCGUGAAGGUCAGUGCUUUACGGGCGUUAAACUUCUUUUGUGCGGGAGCAAUAAUGGUCACGUGUGGCCAGACGAGAGUACUGUACGAAUAAGCAUCGGCUCACUCCGUGCCAGCAGCCGCGGUAAUACGGGGGUUGCAAGCGUUAUCCGGAUUUAAUGGGUUUAAAGGGUGCGUAGGAUGGGAGGUAAGUCAGCGGGGAAAUGCCCCCGCUCAACGGGGUGAAGUGCAAUGGAUACUGGCUUGCUGGAAUGCGGAUGCGGUGGGAGGAAUGUGUGGUGUAGCGGUGAAAUGCAUAGAUAUCACACAGAACACCGAUUGCGAAGGCAUCUCACGAAUCCGCGAUUGACGCUGAUGCACGAAAGCGUGGGUAUCAAACAGGAUUAGAUACCCUUGUAGUC
RNAcentral lists this ribosomal RNA (460 nucleotides) under uncultured bacterium. RNAcentral's name for it is "partial 16S ribosomal RNA". It matches the Rfam family "Bacterial small subunit ribosomal RNA", at positions 338 to 795 of the family's 1533-position model. The record is from RNAcentral.